Molecule: unclassified non-coding RNA, 2555 nt
Filed under: Owenia fusiformis
Lineage: Eukaryota; Metazoa; Annelida; Polychaeta; Sabellida; Oweniidae
Description: tRNA (uracil(54)-C(5))-methyltransferase
Source: RNAcentral
CCGGAAUCCAAGAUGUCUGCGCCCAUGUCCUGCAACAUUUUCUUGUGAAAAAAUAGUAAAAUAUAUCCAAACUACCACUUAGGCUAGAAAUUCACGAAACUACAUAGAUCCAAAUUGAAAAGGAAAACGCAGCCCUAUCACCUCGUCGAUUCAAAUUCCCAUUGUUCUGUUGUCAGGGGUCUCACCCACAGUUGUCAUGGCAACAGAAGGUGACACCACUCCUAUGGAAACAUCUCAAUCAGGCAACCCAUCUGACAUGACAGAUGUUGAGAAUGUGAAAGAUAAUGUAAAAAUUGAAGAAAGCGUUGAUGGAAAAGACAAUGUAAAAGAUGAAGUAAAAGAUAAUGGAAAAGACAAUGAGAAAGCUGUACUAAAAGAUGAUGAACAAGAUAAUGUUAAAGAUACAGUGAAAGAUGAUGACAAAGGCAAUGAGAAGGAUACAGUAACGAUUGAGAGAAAUGACAGUGAAGAAGAUACAAUAGAGAAUGAUGCAGAACCAAAGAAGGAUGAUGACCUAAAUGAUCCUUAUGGUUACAUCAAAAGAGAUGAAUUUACAACAGAAAUCUUUAAGAUUGAAAUUGGGAACAUUCCUAAGAUCUACUCUUGGUCACAACUGAAAAUGAAACUGAAGAAGUUGGGACUCAAUCCAGUAAAGAUCAUUCUGUUGCAAGACUCCAGCUAUGCCUUUGCAAAUUUCAGGUGUGAAGAAGACAGACAAAAAGCCAUUGAAGUGAUAGAUGGCCACAACUGGAAAGGCCUUUCUCUGACAGCAAAACCAGCCAAGCCAAGACAGGACCCCCUUAUUAAGAGAAGGUUGGAUAAAGAGAAGUCAGAAGCUGGUCCUGCUAAAAGAUCACGACAAAAUGAUAAAGAAGAACUCUCUGAUGAGGAAAGACUAAAGCAAGCAGUGAUGCCUUUAGGUCAUCUAACAUAUGAUGAACAGUUAAAGGUGAAGCUAUCUCAGAUGCAGGAACACAUGAAAAAUUUAACAAAACAAAUGUUCAAAAAUUUCCCACAUUUGAAAAAGAAAGAUAGCUGGUUGGCCAAUCUAGUCUCUGCAAACUCUGGUAUGUGUUGCCCAUUGGAGGAAAUACUCCCUUCGCCAGAAUGUGAAGGAUACAGGAACAAGAAUGAAUUCACUAUUGGACUGAGCCCUCAAGGGGAAGAGAACACUGUCGGAUUUAGAUUGAGUUCUUAUAGAGAUGGAGACAGUAGUGUUGCAGAGCCUUAUGGAUGCGUAAUGUUAAAUCAGAAAAUGAAAGAUGUUGUUCAGGGCUUCCAAGAAUUUAUAAGAAUUUCUGGGAAGGACUGUUAUAAAACUGAAGUGCAUUCUGGGCACUGGCGCCUUCUGCAAGUUAGGACCACUAGGAAAAAUGAAGUAAUGGCCAUAAUUGGCUUCCACCCUCAGUCUUUAACGAAGGAGGAGAUGUUGGCUUUAAAGCAAUCUAUCAAGGAACACUUCACUGAUGGAGAUGGCAAGAAGUGUGGGAUCACAUCUAUGUACUUGCAACAGCAAACUUCCAGAGUUUCUGCUAUGAGUUCUGAGGAAGAGUAUGAACAUAUAUUUGGAGAGGAACACAUACAUGAGAGUCUGUGUGACAUGACAUUCAGAAUCUCACCUGAUGCAUUUUUCCAAGUAAAUACUGCUGGUGCAGAGGUGCUAUAUAGGAAAGUUGCAGAUUGGGCGGGGAUAUCUCCAGAAACUACCCUUCUUGAUGUGUGCUGUGGUACAGGGACUAUAGGACUAACACUAGCCAAGAAAGUAAAACAUGUGAAGGGGUUUGAGAUGUGCCAGCAAGCUAUAGAAGAUGCUAAAUUCAAUGCCACUCUGAAUGAUAUUAAAAAUGCUGAAUUUUACUGUGGGAAGGCAGAAGAUGUCAUGAUGGAUGUCGUCAAAUAUCUACCAGGCUCAUCCGAAGUUGUUGCAAUAGUGGAUCCUCCUCGGCAGGGCCUUCAUUCCCGGGUUGUCCUUGCAAUCAGACGUUGUCAUAACUUGAAGAAAUUGAUCUACGUCUCCUGCAACCCUAAAGGUGCAUCUGGCAAUAUUUUGGAUCUUAUGAGGCCAGUGUCUAAGAAAUUCAAGAAUGCUCCAUUCCGAUUGGUCAAAGCUGUUCCGGUAGACAUGUUCCCCUAUACAAACCAUUGUGAACUUAUUAUGCUGUUGGAGAGAGACUCUACAUAAGGACUUUUCAUAGCAAAUAGGGACUUUACACCAACAUAGGGACUGUGUGUGUAAUCUGGACUCUUCUUCUUCAUAUACAAAGUGACCCCUCAUCAAUGUGUGGAUCCUAAAUGUACAUAUUAAAGACUCUUAACAGGGAUUUGAUAUGUAAUAUGAACUUUACUCAUUCCUUAAUGAAUCCAUUGGACUUCUCUUGAAAGCUCAUCUUGAUGGAUCUUAUAUGUAAAAAGGGACCCUUCGUGAACAUAGACUCGUGUACAUGGGGAUUCUUAACUACAUAGGGACUUUCAAUGUGCAUGGGGACUCGAUACAAUCAUACCUAUGGAUUUCACAUAUGUAGGGGUUCCUAUGGACUUCACAUAUGUAGGAGUUC